CUGUGAGUUAAGCAUUGCCGCAUUUUGUAGCAGGGAAAACCAUAGGGAAAGUAAAGGAGCUUGCUGCAAAUCACACCUUCAGUAGUCAAUGGCGAUGAAACUUGAGGACCUGAUUCAAUUCGCCAAACGAUCUCCAUUCACUGAAGGAGCAAACGGAAGCAAAGAGAGCCAAACGCCCAAAUGAGGUUUCCCAAACUGAUAACAUUAAAGAAACGGUGUCCUACUGAUACUUGGUCUAUAGUUAGGAAGCUUCCCCAAAGUCCUAAGGCACACUUUGGAAUAUUAACCCCUGUUGAUGUAAAGUACCAGGAUCUUGAGUUCACAAGAACUUUAGGAAGCUCUCCUUCACCCCCGGGAGUCAUUGCGAGACCAGAAGGGUCAAGCAACACCAAAUAGCAACAGCCAAGCCUCCGCAAUUUUAAAGAAAGAAAAAAAAUGUGAACAGGAGCAAUGCGUGAAGAAAAUGACCCACCCUGUCCAGGAUUCUAGGCAAAAAAAUAAAUGAAAGAUGGUACUAAGUAGUUGCUGCGGAAUCCUUUCCCCAC
RNAcentral lists this long non-coding RNA (545 nucleotides) under Pan paniscus (pygmy chimpanzee). RNAcentral's name for it is "lncRNA (ENSPPAG00000045364.1)". Lineage: Eukaryota; Metazoa; Chordata; Mammalia; Primates; Hominidae. The record is from RNAcentral.